RNAcentral lists this ribosomal RNA (568 nucleotides) under uncultured bacterium. RNAcentral's name for it is "partial 16S ribosomal RNA". It matches the Rfam family "Bacterial small subunit ribosomal RNA", at positions 355 to 914 of the family's 1533-position model. The record is from RNAcentral.
UGGGGAAUUUUGGACAAUGGGCGAAAGCCUGAUCCAGCAAUGCCGCGUGUGUGAAGAAAGCCUUCGGGUUGUAAAGCACUUUUGUCCGGAAAGAAAUCCUUGGCUCUAAUACAGUCGGGGGAUGACGGUACCGGAAGAAUAAGCACCGGCUAACUACGUGCCAGCAGCCGCGGUAAUACGUAGGGUGCAAGCGUUAAUCGGAAUUACUGGGCGUAAAGCGUGCGCAGGCGGUUUGCUAAGACCGAUGUGAAAUCCCCGGGCUCAACCUGGGAACUGCAUUGGUGACUGGCAGGCUAGAGUAUGGCAGAGGGGGGUAGAAUUCCACGUGUAGCAGUGAAAUGCGUAGAGAUGUGGAGGAAUACCGAUGGCGAAGGCAGCCCCCUGGGCCAAUACUGACGCUCAUGCACGAAAGCGUGGGGAGCAAAACAGGAUUAGAUACCCUGGUAGUCCACGCCCUAAAACGAUGUCAACUAGUUGUUGGGGAUUCAUUUCCUUAGUAACGUAGCUAACGCGUGAAGUUGACCGCCUGGGGAGUACGGUCGCAAGAUUAAAACUCAAAGGAAUUGAC